RNAcentral lists this ribosomal RNA (253 nucleotides) under uncultured prokaryote. RNAcentral describes it as "partial 16S ribosomal RNA". It matches the Rfam family "Bacterial small subunit ribosomal RNA", at positions 525 to 777 of the family's 1533-position model. The record is from RNAcentral.
ACGGAGGGUGCAAGCGUUAAUCGGAAUUACUGGGCGUAAAGCGCACGUAGGUGGUUUGUUAAGCUAGCUGUGAAAUCCCCGGGCUCAACCUGGGCACUGCAGUUAGAACCGGCAAGCUAGAGUAGGGUAGAGGGGUGUGGAAUUCCAGGUGUAGCGGUGAAAUGCGUAGAUAUCAGGAGGAACACCGGUGGCGAAGGCGGCUUUCUGGACACUAACUGACGCUGAGACGCGAAAGCGUGGGGAGCAAACAGGA